CAAACUAUUUAGCCACUGUUUAUCACGUAUGAUACAUGUAGCUUUUAUGUCUCAGUGAGCUCUGAAAUUAAAGUUAAUUUAGAUCAUGCUUUGAAUGAAUAUCCAAGUAUUUGCCCAAAGAGUUUGAGACCAACCUAAAGAAAGCAGCACAGUUAUCAUAGUGUCCCGCACAGCUGAAGUGUCGGCCAUCAAAGCAGUACAGGGAGGCUUACACUGACAGUAUCAUCCUGAGCCCUUUUAAACAUUUACAUUUUAUUUGUUUAUUUUUUUACUGUCGUCAGAUCAUAACCUGAUACUUUAUUAAAGCCGGCAGGAAUCAAUAAAACUGUAAACAGAAUAGAAAUAUUAAUGUAUCGUCUUUAUUCAUUUUUAGUAAACAGACUUCAUAUCUCAUCAUCAUCUCAUUAGUGACAGUUUGAUAGAGUUCAAAUCAAGUACAACAGACAACCUGAUGCUAAAUCUGUUUGUCAACUGAACCACUUUAAAUGCUGCGUGUAAAACCGUGUGUUAGCACAUCGUCACUGACAGCAGGAGGAGCGUACACGCUGUGUCCAAAACAGAAACCACACAGUGGUCUGGACGUGCUCUACGCCGAUUAAUCGACGUUUGCUGUUGCUGUUUAAGAAGAAUAAACAGCUAGCAACUGAAAGACGAGGAGACAACAUUAGCGCCUGACUGUAAUAUGCCCAGGAAGUUCAGCAGGUUUGCUCACUUUCAUGAAGAGGAGCUCAUGGUUCCUGGAAAUGGCCGAUAGAAGCUGAGCACGAAUGAAAAGGCAGGAAACUCAUUCCUCAAAACUCAGGUUAUAAGAGUUAGAAAUGUUCACUGAGAGCAAAAUUAUCAUCUGGAUCGCUCUAGUUUCAUGGCCAAACCCUGCCUAUAUAUUUGCUGUGAAAAGGGCUCAGAGUGUCUACGAGGCUGAAGAGGGCAGCAACAUCACCAUCAGAGUGGACAGUCAGCUCCAAGCUGACGUGUCUCUGGCUCACUUGAUGUGUGUUUUCUACUCACAUGAUACUAAGAUAUUGUUUAAAAUGACCAGAGGAGUGGAGGACUCUGAGUCUCAGCACGAACAGUUUGCAAGACGAGUUCAGAUCAACAGAGACGCCCUGAGAGGAGGAAGAGUCAGACUUCAUGUGUCCAGAGUCACAGCUGAAGACUCUGGAAACUACCGCUGUGAUCUGGCUGCUGAUUAUAACAAGGUUCUGAGGAGAUGGGAGCUCGAGGCCUCUGAAUAUUUCAUCUUGAAUGUGACUCGCUCUCAUUCAGUAAGCAGUGACGCGUUCCACACCACACCAAAGCCAGAUGAAGGAGCAGGAGGUCGAAAGGAGAAACACAGAGCUUAUGACUGGAACAAAGUUAAAAUUGAUCUAGGAGCUCUAAAUGUUGGAUUUCUGAUGCUUGGUGGUUUAAUGUUGGUGAUAAUAUCUAUUAGCUGCAAGCUAAUAGAUAUCUGCAAGCAAUAUUGAGAAGAGUAAGUUUGUUUUUUUUCCUGUUGUUGAACUUGACCUGAACAAUUUCUAUGCUCUGAUUUAUGUAUUGAUUUCUGUUUGCACAGAUAAAGGCAAAAGCCUAUAUAUAUCUAUAUCUAUAUCAUAUCUAUAUAUAUAUGUAUAUAUAUAUAUAAAAAAAAACACCCAUCUCGCCCCUGCGGGCGGUUUAUCCUUUCAAGCUCGGGGUCCUGCGCAGUAUCUUAGCUGUUCCCAGGACUGUGCCCAGGACAUACAUACAUACAUACAUACAUACAUACAUACAUAUACAUAUAUAUAUAUAUAUAUAUAGAGAGAGAGAGAUAGAGAGAGAGAGAGAGAGAGAGAGAGAGAGGCACAUAUUUCACUAAUGUUCCACUGUGCAUGCUCUCGUGGUUUCCUAGAAUUAAUAACCAUAACUUUCAACCAUUCUCAGUAUCAGCUUCAACUGAAUCAAGCACUUGUUAAAUCCGCUGUUUGCAAUAAUUUGAAAAAACCUGGUUUCUGUUGCAAAAAAAACUAAGACUGUUUAUUUUUUGUGUUAUUUAUAAACUUGCUUUAUCUUUAUCUUUUUUAAUCUGUGAAGCACUUCCCAUUUUUAUUUGUAAAUAUAAAUGUUUUUUUCCAAUGUUAAAACAAAUGUUGGCAUUUUUACCAAGUAAAGUUUGAAUGUGACUAUAAUAGUCUGGUAGCAAUGUGUUUUGGUGACAUGUUUUAAAACUUUAUUGCAGUUUGUUAUCAAGACAAUUGUCGUUUGAUUCUCUUUGUGUUUAUAGUUUUGUUUUUUGUUUUUUAAAUAAAUGUGUUGUUUUGAAUCUUCAGCACGACUCUUUUGUUUUUAAUAAAGUAAAUGUCACUUACAUAUUGUCAGUACAUAGUCUGAUUUCUUGUCAAGUAAAUGUUAAGUGAAGCAUCAGGUACAGACAUGAGAUUCCUCGAGUUCAGGAGUGCCACACUUUGCAUCAGACUGUAGCUGUGAGGAAAGAGCUGGGAGGAGCUUUAAUAUCAUUGAUACAAGUUCAUCAUAGUGUCUGUGUUCAUUUGGCAGAAGGUUAAACUCUUUUUCUAAUAAAUCAGGUUUUCUGUGUUUUGAUGUACUUAAACAGGGUUAUUAUACAGAUAAAUGAUUAAAAAGAUAAACUCCAUAAAUAUUUUCUUAUAGCUGCUUAUAGAAAUGACUCCUCAGUACUGACAGGAAUUUAAGUAAAAACUUUCAGAG
Molecule: long non-coding RNA, 2685 nt
Filed under: Oreochromis niloticus (Nile tilapia)
Lineage: Eukaryota; Metazoa; Chordata; Actinopteri; Cichliformes; Cichlidae
Description: lncRNA (ENSONIG00000036564.1)
Source: RNAcentral